Molecule: long non-coding RNA, 1717 nt
Organism: Gymnodraco acuticeps
Lineage: Eukaryota; Metazoa; Chordata; Actinopteri; Perciformes; Bathydraconidae
Exons: 3
Source: RefSeq, a predicted model, not a curated record
UAUUGAAAAGACUGAUUGAUUGUGUCCUGUUUUUGGGUAAACAGGAACUUUCAUUUAGGGGACAUGAUGAAAGCGCCGAGUCCAGAAACAGAGGAAACUACGUGGAGCUUCUUUCUUUGCUUGCUGAGAACAACACAGACUUGCAUUACCACCUGUCCACAAACAAUAAUUCAGGUAGGACUGUGUCGGACAUCACUGAAGGCCUAGGUGUGAAAUGCACGGCCCGCCACUGCUGAUUGGUUAACAAUGGCUGGUACAGAGCACAGCACUUCUGAUUGGUGUGGAUGACUGACACACCAGAAGAAAGAAAAAAAAAUUCCAAAAAAAAGAAAAUGUUAAAAAAAAAUCGCAGGCUUUGCGAUUUCAUAAUCGCAUCAUUUUAUAAUCGCAUCAUUUUAUAAUCGCAUCAUUUUAUAAUCGCAUCAUUUAAAAUCGCGAUUUUGAUUUAAAAUCGAUUAAUCGCUCAGCCCUAUUAUGGGAUGUAGAAACCUUUUCUACUCUUUGGAGUACGCUUUUUUUGACGUGUCUUUGCUUUACACCAACUUCUUUAUUUGACCAUACCUAGAAGCUUUUGUUAUCAUGUCUUUAGGCUGUGUUUGCCGUCCAGGAACUACAAAUGUAAUUUAGCUCACUCUGGAACAUUAUGUUCAGAGCACUGGAACCUCAACAUGUGGUGGAACAUUAUGUUCAGCGAUGAGUCCAGAUUCUGCCUACGGCACAUGGAUCGUAGGGUCACAGUGGAGAAGACGCAGAGAAUGCUUUACUGAUUGCUGCACCGAUAGAGUAGUGGAGAGGAUGGAAUGGCCUGCCUGCAGUCCUGACCUCAACCCCAUUGAACCCCAUUUUGGGAUCAACUUGUUCCUGCUGUCCGUGCCGGAGUGACCGACACAACCACGUUGGCUGACUUGGGACAAAUGCUGGUUGAAGAAUGGGAGGCCAUCCCACAGCAGAGUGUGAGCAGGCUGGUGACAGCAUGAGGAGGAGAGGCUGUCGUGGCUGUGUUUGGUUCUUACACACACUACUGAGGCUGCUUGUUAAAUGAAUCACUUGUUAGUAAAUCAAUUAUUGCCAAUAUGUCUUUAUUUAUCAGACUUCAAUCAUCCAAUCCAAACAACACCAAACUAGAGUCAGCAAAAAAAGCUGUUUUGCAUUGGCAGAGGAGAUUUGUCAUAUUGUUCAUGGCUACAUACUCAGCUCUGCUGCUCAUCCCACAAAUGCUUGUUCCUCACAAAUGUGGUACCAUUGGAAAGAAUAUUCAGGAUGUUGUCUUUCUUUUGGAGUGCCAGACCAGGGUGCAGUAACUGUCGAACAGGGGAAACAGGAGUUUAAUUAGCGCCAUGACUCCGGGUUUCAGGACGGCUUUUUGUUCCCUGUGCAGGCAGAAUGCAGGCUGUGGGCUAAGGAACAAUACUGUACUCAGAGCGCAGGUAGGAAACUGCACGUAGCAAUCCUUACAUCAUAUUAUGCAAGGGAACUCCUAGAUACCAGUUUCCAAGCAGGUAGGCCUGUCACCGCUCUACAGGCUGCAAUACACAACCAUUUACUGUAGAGCCUUUUCUUAUCAAGCUCCACAUUUGUGGAAUCAGCUUCCAGUUUGUGUUCGGGCGGCAGACACCCUAUCCGUUUUUAAGAGUGCGCUUAAGACCUUCCUUUUUGAUAAAGCUUAUAGUUAGGGCUGAUUAGAUUCAGCCCCUAGUUUUGCUGAUAUAGGCUUAGU